UACAGAGGCGGCGAGCGUUGUUCGGAUUUACUGGGCGUAAAGGGUGCGUAGGCGGUUCCGUGUGUCGGAUGUGAAAUGUCACCACUCAACGGUGGAAUUGCAUUCGAAACUGCGGGGCUAGAGUACAGGAGAGGAGAGCGGAAUUCCAGGUGUAGCGGUGAAAUGCGUAGAUAUCUGGAGGAACACCGGUGGCGAAGGCGGCUCUCUGGACUGAUACUGACGCUGAGGCACGAAAGCUGGGGGAGCAAACAGG
Molecule: ribosomal RNA, 253 nt
Filed under: uncultured bacterium
Lineage: Bacteria
Description: partial 16S ribosomal RNA
Rfam family: Bacterial small subunit ribosomal RNA
Source: RNAcentral